CCUACGUGAGGCAGCAGUGGGGAAUAUUGCACAAUGGGGGAAACCCUGAUGCAGCGACGCCGCGUGAGUGAAGAAGUAAUUCGUUAUGUAAAGCUCUAUCAGCAGGGAAGAAAAUGACGGUACCUGAGUCAGAAGCCCCGGCUAACUACGUGCCAGCAGCCGCGGUAAUACGUAGGGGGCAAGCGUUAUCCGGAUUUACUGGGUGUAAAGGGAGCGUAGACGGCAGUGCAAGUCUGGAGUGAAAGGCGGGGGCUCAACCCCCGGACUGCUCUGGAAACUGUACGGCUGGAGUGCAGGAGAGGUAAGUAGAAUUCCUGGUGUAGCGGUGAAAUGCGUAGAGAUUAGGAGGAACACCAGUGGCGAAGGCGGCUUACUGGACUAUAACUGACGUUGAGGCGCGAAAGCGUGGGGAGCAAACAGGAUUAGAUACCCUGGUAGUC
Molecule: ribosomal RNA, 440 nt
Filed under: uncultured bacterium
Lineage: Bacteria
Description: partial 16S ribosomal RNA
Rfam family: Bacterial small subunit ribosomal RNA
Source: RNAcentral